UACGUGCUAGGAGACAACCGUGAGAGUGAGGUAGGCUGUUAGUCUCACCUUGAAGGUCUAUCAACAACUGCCAGUUGGAAAUAAAUGCAUACAAUGCACAUAUACCUUAAGGUCAGUAUCCUGUCUAGCAUGCCAGAAGUUUGAGAAGGCAAAGACUGGCACCGGAGUUGAAGCCCAUCAAAGUUGUUUCAACAUGGCACAUGAUCGGGGUGGACCUCAUCGGACCCUUCACGAAAUCCAGGAAUGGCAUCAGCUGGUGUCUGACGGUGACCGAUCACUUUACCAAGUCAGUGGAGGCGAUACCCAUUAAGGACGAGACUAGCGAGGCCACCUCCAAGGCGAUGGUGGACACCCACAGUUCUCCUGAGGUCAUGACUUUGGUCUCCUGACUGAGGUCAUGAACGGUGGAACAAGGUUUGGGAAAUGGACCAACCAGACCCUCAAGACUGCCAUGGGCAAGCCCCUUGAUACCAGGAAGGGUGGGAGAACAACCUGAAGGUAAUUCUCUUUGCACACAACAGCAGACGGGAGCCGCAGCUGUUGACUGAGGUAAACAAUGCAAUUGUAUAUACAAUUAUUGCAUAUACUGUAGUAUUUCAAAUUUGUGGUUGACUUAGUGUUGUUGUUUGUCUAUUGCUAUUUUUGUAUAACGAUCUUUCAGACCACUGAAACCCCACCUGAAGUGGGGGAAGUUGUCAAACCAGAUCAGAACGCCUUCGAGGACCACCUUCAGGCACGGACUGAGAAGGAAGUGGAGGUUUUUGACCAGCUAGAGGUUCUGCCCAACACCCAGACGUGGACCCACCUGAUGUCCCCCAUUACCAACCAUCCUCCAACUUUUCUUUACAUCAUCUACACUGUUGUUGUCAUUAUCCGCUAAGAAAGUUUCCUUGCUCUAUCAUACUGGACACAUAAUAUGUGAGAUACACAGAUGAACUAAAAACACUAGCACUGUAAACACACAGAACAAAGAGAGCAGCAGUGCCUGGACUUUGCCGUCUCCCUCUUCAAGUCCCCCUUCUGAGACUGGCUGCCUGUUGAGAACAAGUCACAGACAGAAUUCCACACACCAGAAUUCAGUAUUUUAGUCUAUGAUUGCCAUAUAAGUGUACAGAAAAUCUGUGAAAAUAAAUGAAUGACACAACUGUACCAAAAACUAUCAAAGUUUGUAUUCAAAUCUUAAAUAUUGCCAGGUUGGU
Oncorhynchus kisutch (coho salmon) is the source of this 1199-nucleotide long non-coding RNA. RefSeq lists it as uncharacterized. The record is from RefSeq and is a predicted model, not a curated record. The transcript is spliced from 6 exons. Lineage: Eukaryota; Metazoa; Chordata; Actinopteri; Salmoniformes; Salmonidae.